Molecule: ribosomal RNA, 429 nt
Filed under: Actinomycetes bacterium
Lineage: Bacteria; Bacillati; Actinomycetota; Actinomycetes
Description: Actinobacteria bacterium partial 16S ribosomal RNA
Rfam family: Bacterial small subunit ribosomal RNA
Source: RNAcentral
UAGGGAAUCUUCCGCAAUGGGCGAAAGCCUGACGGAGCAACGCCGCGUGAGUGAUGAAGGUCUUCGGAUCGUAAAACUCUGUUAUUAGGGAAGAACAAAUGUGUAAGUAACUAUGCACGUCUUGACGGUACCUAAUCAGAAAGCCACGGCUAACUACGUGCCAGCAGCCGCGGUAAUACGUAGGUGGCAAGCGUUAUCCGGACUUAUUGGGCGUAAAGCGCGCGUAGGCGGUUUUUUAAGUCUGAUGUGAAAGCCCACGGCUCAACCGUGGAGGGUCAAUAGAAACUGGAAAACUUGAGUGCAGAAGAGGAAAGUGGAAUUCCAUGUGUAGAGGUGAAAUGCGCAGAGAUAUGGAGGAACACCAGUGGAGAAGGCGACUUUCUGGUCUGUAACUGACGCUGCUGUGCGAAAGCGUGGGGAUCAAACAGG